AUUGAACGCUGGCGGCAGGCCUAACACAUGCAAGUCGAACGGUAACAGGAAGAAGCUUGCUUCUUUGCUGACGAGUGGCGGACGGGUGAGUAAUGUCUGGGAAACUGCCUGAUGGAGGGGGAUAACUACUGGAAACGGUAGCUAAUACCGCAUAAUGUCGCAAGACCAAAGAGGGGGACCUUCGGGCCUCUUGCCAUCGGAUGUGCCCAGAUGGGAUUAGCUAGUAGGUGGGGUAACGGCUCACCUAGGCGACGAUCCCUAGCUGGUCUGAGAGGAUGACCAGCCACACUGGAACUGAGACACGGUCCAGACUCCUACGGGAGGCAGCAGUGGGGAAUAUUGCACAAUGGGCGCAAGCCUGAUGCAGCUAUGCCGCGUGUAUGAAGAAGGCCUUCGGGUUGUAAAGUACUUUCAGCGGGGAGGAAGGGAGUAAAGUUAAUACCUUUGAUCAUUGACGUUACCCGCAGAAGAAGCACCGGCUAACUCCGG
This 489-nucleotide ribosomal RNA is filed under the name uncultured bacterium. Its description in RNAcentral is "partial 16S ribosomal RNA". It matches the Rfam family "Bacterial small subunit ribosomal RNA", at positions 30 to 506 of the family's 1533-position model. The record is from RNAcentral.